AAUCAACGCUGGCGGCGUGCCUCAGACAUGCAAGUCGAACGCGAAAUUUCCCUUCGGGGAGAAAGUAGAGUGGCGCACGGGUGAGUAACACGUAGGUAAUUUGCCUUUGGGUGGGGAAUAACUCAGGGAAACUUGAGCUAAUACCGCAUAAUGCAGCGGCUCGACAUCGAGACAGUUGUUAAAGCGGGGGAUUGGAGCAAUCCGACCUCGCGCCUAAAGAGAAGCCUGCGGCAGAUUAGCUAGUUGGUAAGGUAAUGGCUUACCAAGGCGACGAUCUGUAACCGGCCUGAGAGGGCGGUCGGUCACACUGACACUGACAGUAC
RNAcentral lists this ribosomal RNA (323 nucleotides) under uncultured bacterium. RNAcentral's name for it is "bacterial SSU rRNA". It matches the Rfam family "Bacterial small subunit ribosomal RNA", at positions 32 to 328 of the family's 1533-position model. The record is from RNAcentral.